Molecule: long non-coding RNA, 595 nt
Organism: Oryzias latipes (Japanese medaka)
Lineage: Eukaryota; Metazoa; Chordata; Actinopteri; Beloniformes; Adrianichthyidae
Source: RefSeq, a predicted model, not a curated record
CUUGAUGCACCUGUAACGGGAGUCACCUGUAGGUGUCUCUAUACCCAUUGUUCAGGGGGUUUAAAAAGGAAGUUGACGUGUGGUUGCUAUGGCGCUAGCUUCCUGUGAGAAAGCCGGUUAGCUCAGAGAGCAGCGUGAGUUGGCUCGAGCAAAAAGUGCGGAUCACGGCAGAGGUAGAUCCUGCUUUUCUGGGGGUUUUAAAGACUGGGCGUGAGGUUUUGCGACGCACCAGUGUUGGAAUACUGUGCCCUGCUGUCCUGUUUAAGUUUAUGUUUUGUACUUUGUUUGUCCGCUCCUGACGGAGCUGUCCCAGCGUGAUUGACUAAUCAAGUGCAGGAGCGGACUAUUUACCCUCUGUUCUGUUUGUCAUUUUUUUUAGUCACUUCCCUCAGGUUUCACCCCGCAUGUUAUUUUGGUGGGUGCCGUAUCCCACCGAGUGCUGUGCAUCACAGUUACGUUGCAUGUUUUUAUUUUUUAUUGUUGUGCAUGAACUGUGGUUUUUUUGUCUGCAUGCUCCUGUGGUGUCAUUGAUACGGUCAACAUUUUUAUUCUACUCAUGACGGGGUUUUUGUAUUAAUAAAUCUUCGUAACCUGC